RNAcentral lists this ribosomal RNA (381 nucleotides) under uncultured Lachnospiraceae bacterium. RNAcentral describes it as "bacterial SSU rRNA". It matches the Rfam family "Bacterial small subunit ribosomal RNA", at positions 355 to 748 of the family's 1533-position model. Lineage: Bacteria; Bacillati; Bacillota; Clostridia; Lachnospirales; Lachnospiraceae. The record is from RNAcentral.
UGGGGAAUAUUGCACAAUGGGGGAAACCCGUACGAUGCAGCGACGCCGCGUGAGUGAGGAAGUAUUUCGGUAUGUAAAACUACUAUCAGCAGGGAAGAUAAUGACGGUACCUGACUAAGAAGCACCGGCUAAAUACGUGCCAGCAGCCGCGGUAAUACGUAUGGUGCAAGCGUUAUCCGGAUUUACUGGGUGUAAAGGGUGCGUAGGUGGUAUGGCAAGUCAGAAGUGAAAGGCUGGGGGCUUAACCCCGGGACUGCUUUUGAAACUGUCAAACUAGAGUACAGGAGAGGAAAGCGGAAUUCCUAGUGUAGCGGUGAAAUGCGUAGAUAUUAGGAGGAACACCAGUGGCGAAGGCGGCCUGCUGGACUGUAACUGGCGCUG